AGCAGCCGCGGUAAUUCCAGCUCCAAUAGCGUAUAUUAAAGUUGUUGCAGUUAAAAAGCUCGUAGUUGAAUUUCGGGAUCAAUACGUCGGUCGUGCUUCGGUACGUACUGGCGUAAUUGAUUUCUCCCUUCUGACGAACCAUGAUGUCAUUAACUUGGUGUCAUGGGAAAUCAGGACUGUUACUUUGAAAAAAUUAGAGUGUUUAAAGCAGGCUCGCGCUUGAAUACAUUAGCAUGGAAUAAUGAAAUAGGACGUUGAUCCUAUUUUGUUGGUUUCUAGGAUUGACGUAAUGAUUAAUAGGGAUAGUUGGGGGCAUUAGUAUUCAAUUGUCAGAGGUGAAAUUCUUGGAUUUAUUGAAGACUAACUACUGCGAAAGCAUUUGCCAAGGAUGUUUUCAUUAAUCAAGAACGAAAGUUAGGGGAUCGAAGACGAUCAGAUACCGUCGUAGUCUUAACCAUAAACUAUGCCGACUAGGGAUCGGAUGAUGUUAAUUUUUUUAAUG
This 502-nucleotide ribosomal RNA is filed under the name uncultured Glomus. RNAcentral describes it as "SSU rRNA". It matches the Rfam family "Eukaryotic small subunit ribosomal RNA", at positions 569 to 1077 of the family's 1831-position model. The record is from RNAcentral. Lineage: Eukaryota; Fungi; Glomeromycota; Glomeromycetes; Glomerales; Glomeraceae.